UAACACGUGGGUAACCUGCCCAUAAGACUGGGAUAACUCCGGGAAACCGGGGCUAAUACCGGAUAACAUUUUGAACCGCAUGGUUCGAAAUUGAAAGGUGGCUUCGGCUGCCACUUAUGGAUGGACCCGCGUCGCAUUAGCUAGUUGGUGAGGUAACGGCUCACCAAGGCAAUGAUGCGUAGCCGACCUGAGAGGGUGAUCGGCCACACUGGGACUGAGACACGGCCCAGACUCCUACGGGAGGCAGCAGUAGGGAAUCUUCCGCAAUGGA
This 271-nucleotide ribosomal RNA is filed under the name Bacillus anthracis (anthrax bacterium). Its description in RNAcentral is "partial 16S ribosomal RNA". It matches the Rfam family "Bacterial small subunit ribosomal RNA", at positions 111 to 375 of the family's 1533-position model. Lineage: Bacteria; Bacillati; Bacillota; Bacilli; Caryophanales; Bacillaceae. The record is from RNAcentral.